UACCUUCUCUCAUUCCUUUUACUUUCAUAAUUCCUUUAAUCAUCUAAUCUUUUCCCUCACAUUGCGCCCUCUGGCAUUCCGGGGGGCAUGCCUGUCCGAGCGUCAUUACGCACCCUCAAGCCCGGCUUGUGUGAUGGGCCCUGGCGUCUCGUUCGCGAGACGGGCCCGAAAGGCAGCGGCGGCGUCGACCCGAUGAGCCCGAGCGUAUGGGGACUUUUGUCACACGUUUGCGGUGCGGACCGGCGCCUGCUUGACUUUUCUGAUUAUCCAGGUUGACCUCGGAUCAGGUUGGGAUACCCGCUGAACUUAAGC
This 312-nucleotide unclassified non-coding RNA is filed under the name plant metagenome. Its description in RNAcentral is "partial contains 5.8S ribosomal RNA, internal transcribed spacer 2, and large subunit ribosomal RNA". The record is from RNAcentral.